AGUGAACGCUGGCGGUAGGCCUAACACAUGCAAGUCGACCGGCAGCACAGUAAGAGCUUGCUCUUACGGGUGGCGAGUGGCGGACGGGUGAGGAAUACAUCGGAAUCUACUUUUUCGUGGGGGAUAACGAAGGGAAACUUACGCUAAUACCGCAUACGACCUACGGGUGAAAACAGGGGAUCUUCUGACCUUGCUGGAAUGAAUUUGCCGAGCUUGGGUUAGUUGGUUGGCGGGGUAAAGGCCCACCAAGGCGACGAUCCGUAGCUGGUCGGGGAGGAUGGUAAGCCACACUGGAGCGGGGACACGGACAAGACUACUACGAGAGGCAGCAGUGGGGAAUAUUGGACAGUGGGCGCAAGCAUGAGCCAGCCGUACCGGGUGGGUGAAGAAGGCCUUCGGGUUGUAAAGCACUUUUGUUGGGAAAGAAAAGCAGCAGGUUAAUACCCCGCUGUUCUGACGGUACCCAAAGAAUAAGCACCGGCUAACUUCGU
Molecule: ribosomal RNA, 491 nt
Filed under: uncultured bacterium
Lineage: Bacteria
Description: partial 16S ribosomal RNA
Rfam family: Bacterial small subunit ribosomal RNA
Source: RNAcentral